AGUCCCUCUCAGAAAAAAGUCCUGCCUCUAAGCUAAAUAUCGCUCCCCGAUUGGCUUUGUGGUUUUGCUAAUUUACAUGUGACUUGGCUGUCCCCACUGUCACUCCA
Sphaeramia orbicularis (orbiculate cardinalfish) is the source of this 107-nucleotide long non-coding RNA. RefSeq lists it as uncharacterized. The record is from RefSeq and is a predicted model, not a curated record. The transcript is spliced from 3 exons. NCBI's taxonomy places the organism in Eukaryota, Metazoa, Chordata, Actinopteri, Kurtiformes, Apogonidae.